Brienomyrus brachyistius is the source of this 1030-nucleotide long non-coding RNA. RefSeq lists it as uncharacterized. The transcript is spliced from 2 exons. NCBI's taxonomy places the organism in Eukaryota, Metazoa, Chordata, Actinopteri, Osteoglossiformes, Mormyridae. The record is from RefSeq and is a predicted model, not a curated record.
CUGUGGGAUAAAAUGGUAAAGUUGGAGCAAAGAAUGAGAGGAGGAGGUGCAGGGUCUAUCGUCCAAUAAAAACGCUCGGCGCUAGUUUUGACCGUGUGUUUUUUCCUCACGCAAGCGUUUGUAUCACAUCGGCGUAUGGCGCCAAUUUGUAAAGGUCAUAAGUCGAGACAUACAUCGAGUCUGUCAAUUUGUCCGCCAGUAAAUUCUGCAGGGCCGUGCCACCUGGCCAUCGAGGCGCCCCCCUACCCGGCCACGCGGGCCAUACAUCGAGUCUGACACUUUUGCCCUCCAGUAAAUUCUGUUUAAAGUUUUGUUUUCACAUACGUCCCAAAUUACAGAUAAUUUUCUUACACAGGCACGAGUAGCAUCAUCAAGGCCGUACCACCUGGUCAUACAUCAAGUCUGACAAUUUCCCCGCCAGUAAAUUCUGUUUAUAGUUUUGUUUGUCAUACAUGACCGUGCAGAUAUGGGGUGACAGAGACAAUUAAAUUGUAUUACGUCGAGCGGGGGGCCUUUUCCUCCUCCUAGAGGCACAACGCCUUACCAAAGUUUGUACCAGCCAAAGAACCACAAGUUUCAUCGAGACCUUACCCGGUAAGUAUAUUAUUUCUUUUAUUCCUGUUAUAAAAAUGCUAUUCAAUUAAAAAUAACAUUCUAAUAAUAGGUAUUCUCUGUUUUUUCUAUGUACAAGAGAGAGAGACUGCGCUGACCGGUCAAGAGAAAAUCUACAAGAGACCUGAAUCAGCAGUGUUAUAAAGCACAUAGCCAACGCUAAUUAAUAAAGAAUUUAAGCAUAAUAGCCCAGACGCCCAUGGCCUAUAGCUGGUAGAAACGGAGCUAUCCUACGGCCUACAAGAUAAAAGCAUAUGGCACCAAAUUGGAAUCAGUAGUCUUUAAAAGAAUAAAUGGACUAGCAACUGUCUCUGGGGGAGCAGCCCCGGUUAGGUACUAUUAAGCAGCAUUUAGUGACAUGCAUCAAAACACAUUUUUUAAAACUUUGACAGAAUAAAGUCUUAGUUAUUUUAAUAAA